UUAAGAGAGAAGAAAAUAAUUCAAUUAUGAUAUUCUUAGAGUACAAAUCCAUUAUUGUAAGGUCCAUAAAAGUUCAAAAAUAAAAUUAAAAAAAGAGGCAAUUUUAGCAUAAAGGUAUAUUGCAUAGAUUUUUUUGCUAGUGUAAGAACCCAUUUUCCCUGCAUGACAUAAGUGUAAUCUCUUUGGUAUUGAACUCAUCAACUGACUUAACCUAAGUUCCAUCGCCUUAUUUUAACAGCACGACAAUAGUUUCCAACACACCUAUACACAACCUGACUUUUUGGACAAUCAUGAACUGUUUUACACUUAAGGUAUGCUGUAAUGAAAAAAAGAGAAUGCAAUAAUGUUACUAAAAUAAGAUAAAAUCUUGUGUACAAACAAAAUAAAACUAAAGAAAGGAAUUUGAAAAGGAAAAAUAAAUCCGACCGUCAACAUUCCUUGCAGCUAGAAACAUAGAAAUAAAUAAAAUCAUAGCAUACACAAACUUGAUAGUUUU
RNAcentral lists this long non-coding RNA (496 nucleotides) under Medicago truncatula (barrel medic). RNAcentral's name for it is "lncRNA gene3432". Lineage: Eukaryota; Viridiplantae; Streptophyta; Magnoliopsida; Fabales; Fabaceae. The record is from RNAcentral.